GUAUUAAGAUGAAAAGAAACAGCUUGCUCUCACACUUCUCAAACCAUGGUCUCCUCAUCUCUCUGGUUGUUUCUGCUGCUAGCAGCUGUCUCUUGUGUCCACUGUGUUGAACUGACCCAGACUGAUUCUGUGGUCUUAAGGCCUGGUCAGGUUUUGACUCUGUCCUGUAAGAUCUCUGGAUAUUCAUUGACUGACAGCAGCUACUGCACUGACUUCAUACGACAGGCUGCAGGAAAAGCUCUGGAAUGGGUUGUAGAGAUAUGUAGUAGCGGUAGCACAUAUUACAGUGAAAAACUGAAAAGUAGAUAUCAAGUUAGCAGAGACACUUCCAGCAGCACAGUGACUCUACAAGGACAGAAUAUGCAGACUGAGGACACAGCUGUGUAUUACUGCGCCAGAGAGUCACAGUGACACAGAGCAGUUACUGCCUUGUUCAAAAACAACAUUGUCACUCACAACACAAAUAGUUUCAGUUCCAGAUUACAUUCAAUCAUCAAAAAAUUACAGUACAACCUUUGAAAUUUUUUAGUAAAAGUUUAAAUAGAGAUUAUUAUUUUUAAAUGUGCAAAUAUUUCAUUCAUAUUUCUGUCUUCUCUACUUGUCACUCAAAGCUCAGUUCACUGACAUAAUCCUGUCUUCUGAUAAUUGUGUUAUGAGUGAAUUCUUGACACAUUUUACAAGAGGGCGCACUGUUCUCACAUGUCCUUAAGUCAUGGUAAAUACAAUAUGAGUCUCAGUAGAAGGAUUCUCUAGAUAACACAUUAUUUCAUGAUAGUGAAGUCUCUUUUUAUGAAUUAUAAAUAGAACUCAAUCUUCAGACAUUCUAAAAUAGAUAUAAUUGCUGAUACUGUCAUCACUGAAUUAUUUAUUUAUUGAUCCAUUCUCAUGAUGUUUCUGAGAGCAGCUUUUCUACUUACUGAACACAGCACUGUUACAGAUCCCUUGUUCCCCCUGGACUCCAUUUCCCAUGAU
Non-coding RNA from Megalobrama amblycephala (Wuchang bream), 972 nucleotides. The record is from the annotation of a RefSeq genome assembly. NCBI's taxonomy places the organism in Eukaryota, Metazoa, Chordata, Actinopteri, Cypriniformes, Xenocyprididae.